UUAGUUGCCAUCAUUCAGUUGGGCACUCUAGCGAGACUGCCGGUAAUAAACCGGAGGAAGGUGGGGAUGACGUCAAAUCAUCAUGCCCCUUAUGACCUGGGCUACACACGUGCUACAAUGGUUGGUACAACGAGUUGCGAGUCGGUGACGGCGAGCUAAUCUCUUAAAGCCAAUCUCAGUUCGGAUUGUAGGCUGCAACUCGCCUACAUGAAGUCGGAAUCGCUAGUAAUCGCGGAUCAGCACGCCGCGGUGAAUACGUUCCCGGGCCUU
Molecule: ribosomal RNA, 270 nt
Filed under: uncultured Streptococcus sp.
Lineage: Bacteria; Bacillati; Bacillota; Bacilli; Lactobacillales; Streptococcaceae
Description: partial 16S ribosomal RNA
Rfam family: Bacterial small subunit ribosomal RNA
Source: RNAcentral